Molecule: long non-coding RNA, 575 nt
Organism: Mesoplodon densirostris (Blainville's beaked whale)
Lineage: Eukaryota; Metazoa; Chordata; Mammalia; Artiodactyla; Ziphiidae
Exons: 3
Source: RefSeq, a predicted model, not a curated record
CCAGCCCUGGAGCCUACAGUGAGUGUUGGCUGGGGCCGGGUUCUGGCCCCCAAAUGGCGGCCUCCAGGGAAGCUCAUGCUGAUGAUUAUUACCCAGUACCUCUGCCGCCAGUGUCUUUGUCCCCGCAGUGAGCCACAGGAGACCCUGCCUCUCCAGGAGACCCUCCAAGACCAGCAGCAUUAAAAUGUGAACUGGGCCUCCUGGACUUGCUGAUGCAGUGUUCCCACCCACCCCGGCCAUCUGCGUGGAUACACCAGAGCCCUUAUGCUUAUUCAGGUGGACCCCAUUCUCCCCCUGCCUGUCCUCAUCCGUGUUGUCUAGACCACGGCUGGCACCUGACCCAAUUUCCAAAAAUGAAAUGGGACUAAAUGGCUCCUGCCCCAGGCUGGUUGCUUUCUUGAGGGGAAGAGAUAUAAACUCUGGAGCUGAUGGAUGCAGUAAUCUUCUGCCACCUCAACGGGAAAACAAAGCCCUUGGCAACCUCUGAUCUGAUCUCUGCCUUUGUAAUUGUGUCACUUUAAAAAUGUCAUAUAAAUGGAAUUUUGCACCUGGCUUCUUCCGCUUAGAAGAAUGUG